This is a non-coding RNA of Acanthosepion pharaonis, 110 nucleotides long. The record is from the annotation of a GenBank genome assembly. NCBI's taxonomy places the organism in Eukaryota, Metazoa, Mollusca, Cephalopoda, Sepiida, Sepiidae.
UGGCUAUAUCACGUUGAAACACUGGUUCUCGUCCGAUCACCGAAGUUAAGCAACGUUGACACUGGUUAGUAACUAGAUGGGUAACUGCUUGGAAAUACUAGAUACUGUAA